This 726-nucleotide ribosomal RNA is filed under the name human gut metagenome. RNAcentral describes it as "bacterial SSU rRNA". It matches the Rfam family "Bacterial small subunit ribosomal RNA", at positions 408 to 1140 of the family's 1533-position model. The record is from RNAcentral.
AUGAAGGUCUUCGGAUUGUAAAAUUCUGUGGUAAGAGAAGAAAGAUAUAAAGAGGAAAUGCUUUGUAUUUGACGGUAUCUUGCUAGAAAGCCACGGCUAACUACGUGCCAGCAGCCGCGGUAAUACGUAGGUGGCGAGCGUUAUCCGGAAUUAUUGGGCGUAAAGAGGGAGCAGGCGGUUAGAUAAGUCUAUGGUUAAAUGCAACAGCUCAACUGUUGUUCGCUAUAGAAACUAUUUAACUAGAGUGCGGGAGAGGUAAGUGGAACUCCAUAUGUAGCGGUGGAAUGCUUAGAUAUAUGGAAGAACACCAGAGGCGAAGGCGGCUUACCAGUCCGUAACUGACGCUCAGUCACGAAAGCGUGGGGAGCAAAUAGGAUUAGAUACCCUAGUAGUCCACGCCGUAAACGAUGAGAACCUGAUGCAGGAGAUAUUCUGUGUCGAAGCUAACGCGUUAAGUUCUCCGCCUGGGUACUACGUUCGCAAGAAUAAAACUUAAAGGAAUUGACGGGCGCCCGCACAAGCAGUGGAGCAUGGGGUUUAAUUCGUCGAUACACGAAAAACCUUACCAGGGCUUGACAUCCCGCUAAAAGCCUUAGAAAUAAGGAAAUAGUUAUAGCGGUGACAGGUGGUGCAUGGUUGUCGUCAGCUCGUGCCGUGAGGUGUUAGGUUAAGUCCUCAAACGAGCGCAACCCUUGUCUUUAGUUGCCAUUAUUAAUUUAGGAACUC